RNAcentral lists this ribosomal RNA (173 nucleotides) under uncultured Rhodoferax sp. RNAcentral's name for it is "partial 16S ribosomal RNA". It matches the Rfam family "Bacterial small subunit ribosomal RNA", at positions 1209 to 1382 of the family's 1533-position model. The record is from RNAcentral. Lineage: Bacteria; Pseudomonadati; Pseudomonadota; Betaproteobacteria; Burkholderiales; Comamonadaceae.
UGGGGCUACACACGUCAUACAAUGGCUGGUACAAAGGGUUGCAACCCGCGAGGGGGAGCCAAUCCCAUAAAGCCAGUCGUAGUCCGGAUCGUAGUCUGCAACUCGACUACGUGAAGUCGGAAUCGCUAGUAAUCGUGGAUCAGAAUGUCACGGUGAAUACGUUCCCGGGUCUU